UCAAACUUGGUCAUUUAGAGGAAGUAAAAGUCGUAACAAGGUCUCCGUAGGUGAACCUGCGGAGGGAUCAUUACAUGAUUUUGAGGGGACUUCUGUCCCUUCAUCCAACCCACAAACCCCGAGGAACUUUUAUGUCGAGUGGUUCGGCGCUCUCUUGGGAGCCGCCUCUCAAACGCAUCGCUGGCUUUUCGUGAUGAGUCUGAUGGUGUCACAUCGUGAGUAUUAAAACUUUCAACAACGGAUCUCUUGGCUCUCGCAUCGAUGAAGAACGCAGC
Molecule: unclassified non-coding RNA, 275 nt
Filed under: uncultured fungus
Lineage: Eukaryota; Fungi
Description: partial contains small subunit ribosomal RNA, internal transcribed spacer 1, and 5.8S ribosomal RNA
Rfam family: Eukaryotic small subunit ribosomal RNA (bases 1-73)
Source: RNAcentral